RNAcentral lists this long non-coding RNA (10817 nucleotides) under Podarcis lilfordi (Lilford's wall lizard). Lineage: Eukaryota; Metazoa; Chordata; Lepidosauria; Squamata; Lacertidae. The record is from RNAcentral.
GCUGACAGGAAGCCCUUUUGAAGCUGUCACCUCACUUAAUGGCAUCAGCUGAUUGCUAUGUGGGCCCUGUGCAUCUGCCAAAAUUGCCUGAGGGGUGGUGGUGGGAGAGGUCAGAAUCUGGAAAAGGUGACCCACCCCUGUUGUAGAGGUGCUGUUUUUUCCUUAUGUUGUGUGAAAGACAGAAAAGCAAUUUUAAAUGUACUUGUACAGUAUUUGAUUUUUAAAGUGAUUAGUGACUGUGCAGGAAGGCAUUUAUAGCCACAUUUCAUUCUUCUUGCAUUUUUGUGCCACUUGCAAACAUGUUAUGUAUCUGAAUCUCAAUUUAUAGUCCACCCACCAUUUUUCUUGUAUUGAACUACAGUGUAUGUAUUUGGGAAUGUUUUCCUCUCUAUGGAAGUGAGUUUUAUAGAGGCAGAUUUCCCUUUACCAUGUCCCUUCUUCCCUCUCUUGUGAAACUAACAAUGUUGAGGGGAAAACUUUGCACUUUCAUGGAGGCUAUGAGAGCAUCACAUGUCCAUCUUACUUCUCUGCUGUUGUUACUACUCAGCCGAGCAGGCGCUUUUUUCCCUACUUCAAAAAUUAUGUAUGCACAGCACACCAGUCUAGUUGCACACAGGAAUACUUUAAUCAACCAAGAAACUAGAGGCACAGGUGAAUCUGAUAUGGUUUCCCCCUGACUUUGUCAAUUUGACAGGAGAAUAGGGGAGUAGGAGGAAACCAUGAAGGAACUAGCAGUAUUGCAGGCACAUACAGGGCAGUCUGGCUGGUAUUUAGGAUAGGAAUGUGGAGAGAUGCCUUCUGAAGGCAUGUGACAUUUCAGGCAGGAAAAUAAUGGUGAUAUGUUCAUUAACUGAAAGGGAAGGUUGCCAUAUCAAAAUUAAAACAGAUUAAAAUGCACAUGCAAUUUUGACCCUAGAAAGGAUGAAAUAAAAUUAUCCAUUAGAUGCUAAACAUGUUGACAUGGAAGCAAGUCUCAAUGCUUCAGUGCAACUUGCUUUCAAGUAUGUGCUAAACUAUUCUUACGGGGUCUCUGUCCUCUGUCUUCCUUUCCAUCUGUUAUUUUUAUACUCAGGGCUUCUGUCGAGGCUCAAAAGGAACAAAUAUUAAUUCAUUGCAAAAUCAGUUUCAUGCAAUGUUGGGCUCAAGGAAACCUAUGAGGGCUCAUUCUAUCCUUUGCUUCCUAUCAUUGCCUUUUCUGUGGUUGUUUGUUGACAGCAAGAGCUAUCUUUAAGAGCCAGAGUGUCUGAUCGCCAAGGAUUUGUGAGGAAUGGCGAAGCCCCCAGUGUCCUAACACAAAGACAGCUUACUGAUUUACUGCUACCCUCUGAAGAAGAGCUUCUCCACUUUUCCCAUCUUGGAACAGUCAAGGCAUUAAUUUUCACUUCAGUUGCUCUCUGUUCUGAACUGCAGGCCCAAAGCAGGGCUCGGGGGAGGGGUUGGGUACAAGGAUACCAAAGAAGGAUGUCAAAAACAUUAGAAUGGCCAAUUCUACUGCUUUAUUAAAGAAGAUGUAGACUUAGCAGCAAAGCAGCCUGCUAGGCCUCCCAGCCUUUAUAGACGCAGGAUGGACACCAAAGCAAGGUGAUUGCUUGUCCACACCCAAACAAAUGUGCCUAUGUUCUUUAUACGCAAAGCAGCGUAUGUCACUUUGUCUAGGACAUCCCAUCACUUCUCCUGACCAGAUGAGGGCAUAGGCAGCAACUACCCAAGUCUUACAGAUGGUUCCCUUUCUGGUCUCAGAACCCAGCACCCCAAGCCCACAGAUAGGAGUAUUUGCAUUGAACUUCCCUCUUUAACCUAAUACAGCUCUGUGCAUGCCAGUCUGAUGGUAAUUGCCUUCUCUUCUCUGUAACUGGCAUUAGGGUCUUCUUAGCGCUAUCCAAAGGUCAAAUUUAAAUACUGCCAGUUUCUUUGACAAACUGCAUAGCAAUCAAUCUUCCGUUUUUGUAAUAUACCUUCCUUGACACUGUGAUUGCUAAUUCCCUCUGGUACAAGUAUAAUAUAUAUGUAAUCUGCCUUGUACACAGUGACUGAACUAAUGAUCUGACCGCUCUUCCUCCUGCAUAUGUGCAUCUCCCUAAUGUGUGUAGACAAGGGAUUCAGUUAUACAGCUGCAAAUACAACAUUUUAAGUGUUUUUUAAGUGAAAUAUACAAAAAAAAUUUUAAAUUAUCUCCCCCCCCCCCAGUAUGGAAAAUAUUAUGCCAAAUGUAAUAUCCGGACUGCAACAUGGCAUUCAUUGCCACUUUUUGGAGGCACUCACUGAUAUUUAACAAUAUUCUGCUGAAAUUGCUAGCUAGCUCCUUUUAUCUUCUCAAACUGAAAAGGGCAUUUCAACAAAUAUAUGGCACUGGCUGUCAUAUAUGAGAGAAAAUCUAUAAAGCAGAGGGAGAGGGGAUUUUCUACCAGGGAAUAAAAAGAAAUGUGGUUCCAAAGUGGUGUUAUGCUCAGUAGAAUGAACAUGAUGAAAAUUACUAAUUGGAAAAGUGAAAUGUUCUGGCUCUCACUAGGACAGACUGAUGGGUAGAGUCAUGUGCAGGGACUGCAAAGUGCCUGUAGAAAGGAAUUCUGCACACAUAAGGAUUCAGCUUCCUGAGCAGCUUUUGUUUUUACAGUCCUGCCUGGAAGCAACUUCUGGCAAUAUCAAUUAGCUAAACCAAUGCAAACAUGGGCUGAUUGAACAAUGGUGGCAGGUUAUUAUCAUCUGCUUAGACAUUCUUGUUCUGGUGACCGCUUUCCAUCUUUUGGGUGAUGAAAGUAAGUGUACUUUUCUAUACAGUAUAAGUCUGGUUAUGAUUCAGCUGAAUAUGAUUCACAAAGGUGUUUAGUUUAUUAGACUUAUGAUGUACCUGUUCAAUACACCUUGGGGGAAAAUGAGCAUUAAGUAGUUAUUUUAAAACCACAGUUCCAUCUAUCCAUAAUACAGUGGUACCUCGGGUUACAGAUGCUUCAGGUUACAGACGCUUCAGGUUACAGACUCUGCUUGUUGAAUGGUUUAAUAUGUAAAGGUUCAUCAUUGUUCCACUCGAUGUGUAUGUCUUUAAGGGGCCAGAGAAAGGGCCAGAGCAAAAUAACGAGACCCAGCUUUACAGCUGUGAAACAUAGCAGGUGCUGCUGAGUUGUAUUGAUUAAGCUGUGUUGGUAAUUGGGUGUAGUAUAUAAGGAGCAGCACCUAGCUCUCCCAUUACCCUGGGGGAUGGGUUGGUGGUUGGGUCAUGUUUGUUUGUUAAUGUAUUUAGUGUAAAAGGAGUUUUUGUUUUUCUUAUUAAAACCUUGUUUAAGUUAUUUUUGAGUCCCUUUUUAAUGCAUGGUCUCCCCAGCAAGCUCUCUGCAGCGCUACCAUACUGCAAAAGCCAACAUCUUUGGUUAUGGGCCCAGCUGCUGAGUGGAUGACUGCGUAUUUUGGACUCUGAGAAAGGUUUGAAAACUCCUUCUCCUGUUAGCGUAGUUCUGUGGGUCUGGAAGAGUUCCAGAAUGGUUGACCGGGUUCCUGAAGCUGAGAAGGCUCUGGUCUUCCCACAGCUGACAGAUGAGAACUAUAGUUUAUGGUCUUUUCGGGUGGAGGCGCUUUUGACCUCUAGAGAAGUAUGGACCUAUGUAACUGAUGACCCUCCUGACCCUGUGACUAAUGCUUGGUCGAAAGGAGAUGCGAAAGCCAGGGCGAUAAUUAAUUUGGCAGUCAGCGACCAGCAAGUAGUCUAUAUAAGAAAUAAGAAAACUGCCAAAGAAAUGUGGGACAGUCUUGCAGCAGUGCAUGUUAGAAAAGAGUCAGCGUCUGCAUUGACGUUUUCAAGCAGUUGUACCAGACGAAGUUGCAGCCUGGUGGUGAUUUGGCAGCACACUUGAGACGUCUGGAGGCAAUACGCGGCGAAUUAAUUCGAAGGGACAUGGAGAUACCUGAUAUUCAGUAUGUUUUCAUCAUCCUUUGUUCCCUUAAUGAGGACUUUGAUGGUAUAGCUAGCCAGAUAUCUGCCGUUCCACCAGCACAAUUAACUGUGGAAGGGGUAACGGCAAGAUUAAUGGGCGAGUUGGACAGAAGGGAGGCUUGUGCCAUAAGCACUCCUAUUUCCAGAAAGAAUGAGGAACGCCAUAUGCAAACUUGUGGUGAUACAACUGCAUUUAAAGCUGCAAAGCGUUGUUGGUUCUGCAAUAAGCAAGGACAUUUUGCAAAGGACUGCAGAUCCAAAAGAAAGCAAAGUACUCCCAAGUCUGUUUCUGUUCGUCAGUCACGGUCGUCAGCUCAGCAGCCGGCAUCGUACCGUAAAGACAGAAACGAGCCGCGAGCUUUUCACGCUAGCACAAGAGAUCGUAAAAGAAUUAAAGGUGCCAAGUGGAAUUCUUUUAUUGUGGACUCAGGAGCAUCUCAGCACGUUUGCAACGAUCGAAGCUUGUUUAUUUCUUUCGAAGAGGAAAUUGGUAAUGUACAUUUAGCCAAUUCACAAGUCUUGCAGUCGCUUGGCAGGGGUACUGUUAAACUUGACUCUUUAAACAUUACUAUAGCGAACUGCAUUUACUGCCCAUCAGUGGACAAUUUAUUGUCAGUAAGGUGUUUUGCUCGUCAAGGCAUAACUGUGCGUUUCUUAAAGUCAAUGUGUGAGUUUUUCGAGGGGAACAAACGUCUAUUGUAUGCCCGGGAAUCUGAUGGUUUAUAUAGACUGUAUUUUCGCACCUACUCCCAAUCGCCUAUAAAUUGCAGAGCAGCACAGUCAAGCCAGGGGUUGAGGAAUGUAAGGCCACAUUCUGGGUGUGUCCAUGAGGCGCACAGAAUUCUGGGACAUCUGAAUUUUGCUGAUGUAAUUAAGACCAAGAAUAUUGUUAAUGGCCUCAACUUAAAACCAUGUAAAUUCUUUAUGCAAUGUCUAUCCUGUUGCAAGAAUAAGAUUAAGGUUGCACGCAAGGGUAGGUGCUCAGAUAGGAAAGUAACUGAGCCAUUUGAGCGUGUACAUUGUGAUUUAGUUGGGCCACUCCCACCAUCCUUAGGAGGUUCUAAGUACUGGCUUACCCUGAUAGACCAGUAUAGUAGAUAUUGUUGGACUUAUGCAAUAGCUGAGAAGUCCCAAGCAUUUGAGAAGUACAAAGUUUUUGCAACUGGGUAAAAACACAUUUUAACAAACCUAUUAAGAACCUUUUUUCUGACAGGGCGGGAAUUUGUUUCUGAGGAUUUUGAGAAAUUCCUGGAAGCGCAGGGGACUACUCAUGAGUUAUCUUGCCCCCGAAGUCCCUGGCAAAAUGGGCUUGUUGAAGUUGUGCAGCGUGACCUGCAGGCAGGGGUUAAAACUUAUCUGCAUGAUGCUAAUCUGCCCAAAGACUUUUGGGCUGAAGCGCUCAAUGCCUUUUGUUAUGUUAGAAAUCGCAGUUAUCAUUCUGGUUUAGAUGUCACCCUCUAUGAGAAGCUGUUUAAAAACGCCCUAAUCUGAAAUACCUACGCAUUUGGGGUUCAGAUGUAAUAAUGCAUUAUCCCGCUAAGCAGAAAUUGGGUGAACGUAGUGUCCAGGGAAAAUUAAUGGGCUACCAGCAGGGGGCGUACAGAAUUUACAUACCAGCAACUGGCAAAUUUCAUAUUACCAGAAGCAUGAUACAAACUGUAAAUUGGAAUGGUGUUGCUGUUUUCCAAGAUAGUAAUGGUAUAGAUAAUACUGAGGAAGAAGAGGUAGAAGAAGCAGCAGCAGCAGCAGGAAAUGGUGCUUCUGAAUUAAUGGAAGAAGACAAAAGCCUGUUGAAUCUGAUAAUUUCUUUGAUGAUUUAAAGUCACAGGCACCCGAGGGGAGGUUAGAUUCUCUUGAGUUUUCUGACCGUGAGCUUAGCCAACAGGCAUCUCUUCAGUCUGACAAUGAUGAUUUACAACCUGAAACUAGUAGUUUACAUAGUCCCAUUAAGUCUGAGGAGUCUGACUCUCCUUCCGGACUGAGACGUUCAGAUAGAAAGAGACAGAAGCCACAACGUUUUGCAGAUGAACAUUUUAAUACUGUGUAUGCCAAUAAGGCAGUUUUGAGCCAAAAAGCUACAAUGAUGUUCAGAAUUUACCUAAGCACCAAGCUGUAAAUUGGUAUAAAGCUAUGAACUCUGAAAUAGCUUCUUUAAAAGAGCAUAACACUUGGUCUCUUGUACCACAAACCCCAGAUAUGAGACUUAUUGAUUCAAAAUGGGUUUAUAGAGUUAAAAUGAAUGACAAAAAUGAAGUUGUAAGGUACAAGGCAAGAUUAGUUGCUAGGGGUUUUCAACAAAUUCCAGGCGAAGAUUAUGAUUUGUGUUAUUCACCAAGUGUAAAAUAUGAAACAGUUAAGCUUUUGUUAAAAGAUGCAUCACAACGUGGACAUUCUGUUUAUCACCUAGAUAUAAAAACUGCAUAUUUGUUUGCAGAUUUAAAAGAACAAAUUUUUAUGCGUGUCCCUGAAGGCAUAGACGCCGCUGAAGGUUUGGUAUGCAAAUUAAAUAAAUCCCUUUAUGGUCUGCACCAAAGUGGAAGGAAUUGGCAUCAAACUUUAGCAAAAGAAUUGCUGGAUAUUGGUUUUUCACAGGGAAAGGCAGACAAUUGUGUGUUUAUAAAGGAAAGGGCAAACUCUGUAGCAAAAAUAUGUGUCUAUGUAGAUGACGUGUUAAUUUCUACAAAAACUAAACAGGAAUAUGAACAGGUAGUAACACAGUUACAGAAGAAAUUUGAUGUGGUGGAAUUAGGCAUAGCUAAAAAUUACUUAUCCAUGCAAAUUGAGAAAGGCAAAAAUGGAUCUUUUCUGGUUCAUCAAACUGCAAAAAUUGACGAUCUUGUUGAAAUGCUAUGUUUAGAAAAUGCAAAUGGGAAGGAAACGCCCAUGGUGUGUGGUUUCACUUUUACAGGUGAAGAUAAGCCAUUUCCUAACAAAACUUUGUAUCGUUCUGCUAUAGGCAAGCUAAAUUUCAUUCAAAGAAUCUCAAGACCAGAUAUAACUUAUGCCUUUCACUUUCUGGCAAAAUUUGUGGAAAAGCCCACUACACAAUGUUUCUCUGCUCUUAAGAGAGUGGUAAUGUACCUUAAACAUACCAAACAUUAUAGGUUGCAGUUUACAACAUGUAUUGACAAAGGUUUUGAAAUUUUCUGUGAUGCAUCUCAUGCAGUGGAACAAAAUAAUUGCAGGGGUGUGUCUGGUAUGGUGUUUUGUUAUAAUGGUUGUCCAUUUGAAUGGAAGUCCCAGACACAAACCAUUAUUUGUCUCUCCACAACAGAGAGUGAAUUAUGUGCAUGUGUUCAGGCCACUCGUGAUGUGGAAUGGUAUCUGCAAGUAUUCGCAGACCUACAGAUGCAAGUAACACUACCAGUAAAAGUUUACCUUGAUUCCCAGAGUGGACUCGCUAUCCUAUGUUCAGAAACCAAUACGCAGCGCACUAAAGUCUUAAGAUUACGUUUACAGUUUGUAAAGAAACUAAUUGCUGAUGAAAUGGUUGUAUUUAAAUAUGUUCCAGGUGACAAUCAAAUUGCAGACAUUUUUACUAAAGCACUUCCAAAGGUAUACAUGAAAAACAUGUACAAAGUAUGCUUUAUGUUUUUGUUCCACAAUGAUGAACCGCAGGGGAAAUGUUGAAUGGUUUAAUAUGUAAAGGUUCAUCAUUGUUCCACUCGAUGUGUAUGUCUUUAAGGGGCCAGAGAAAGGGCCAGAGCAAAAUAACGAGACCCAGCUUUACAGCUGUGAAACAUAGCAGGUGCUGCUGAGUUGUAUUGAUUAAGCUGUGUUGGUAAUUGGGUGUAGUAUAUAAGGAGCAGCACCUAGCUCUCCCAUUACCCUGGGGGAUGGGUUGGUGGUUGGGUCAUGUUUGUUUGUUAAUGUAUUUAGUGUAAAAGGAGUUUUUGUUUUUCUUAUUAAAACCUUGUUUAAGUUAUUUUUGAGUCCCUUUUUAAUGCAUGGUCUCCCCAGCAAGCUCUCUGCAGCGCUACCAUACUGCAAUAAGCCAACACUGCUAACCCAGAAAUAUUACCUUGGGUUAAGAACUUUGCUUCAGGAUGAGAACAGAAAUCGUGCAGUGGCGGUGCAGCGGCAGCAGUGGGAGACCCCAUUAGCUAAAGUGGUGCUUCAGGUUAAGAACAGUUUCAGGUUAAGAACAGACCUCCAGAAUGAAUUAAGUUCUUAACCCGAGGUACCACUGUAUAUCUCUUUAGCCCUGCUGAGGUAUUGCUUCCUGCAAUCAGUUGGAGAUGGCACUUAAGUAGUGGUUCCACACAUAUCAAGCGAUCCUUCUCCAUGGCUAAGAUCCUUCUAUAAUGCUUACUCAGAAGUCUGUCCUCUUCAGUUAAGGUUCUUUUCAAUGUUAAUUAAAAGCUCCCUAUCCCUUUUAUUGCCUCCUGUUCCAUGUGGCUUUUAGGUUACUGAUGAACAGCCUGUUAAUUACAUCUGGAACAGUCACCUUCAUUGCCUAUUAAUAUCAGUUACUGUUUCCAUGGAGUGCACUUUAAAUACAGAAUUUUUCUUUCUUUCUGAAUUUAUAAAGCAAAAGAGUACUAUUUCACUAUAUAAAAAUGAAAAGUAAAAAAUGAUGAGAAGAAAUUGGUAAAAAUAUAAUCAUAAUUUAAAAAAUUAUUUAAAUAGAACACCAGUUCAAAGUAAAACAAUGCAGUAUCAGAUUCAGAAGGGAAAGUCCCCACAAAUCACGUUUGGUGGGGGAAAUAGAAACUUCAGAGUACAAACAUCUGGGAGUAAUAGUAUCUGGUUUCUCCAUAAAAGGGGGAGUGGAAAAAAGGCAAUUCCUUGCUAAACUGCCAGUGUGGCAUUUGUCUGUGUGUAUCCAUAAAGAAGGCUGAUCACCGAAGAAUUGAUGCUUUUGAAUUAUGAUGCUGGAGGAGACUUUUGAGAGUCCCAUGGACUGCAAGAAGACCAAACCUAUCCAUUCUGAAGGAAAUCAGCCCUGAGUGCUCACUAGAGGACAGAUCCUGAAGCUGAGGCUCCAGUACUUUGGCCACCUCAUGAGAAGAGAAGACUCCCUGGAAAAGAUCCUGAUGUUGGGAAAGAUGGAGGGAACAAGAAGAAGGGGAUGACAGAGGACAAGAUGGUUGGAUGGUGUUCUCGAAGCUACGAACAUAAGUUUGACCAAACUGUGGGAGGCAGUGGAAGACAGGAGUGCCUGGCGUGCUCUGGUCCAUGGGGUCACAAAGAGUUGGAUAUGACUAAACGACUAAACAACAACAAAAUCUAUCUAUAGCUAUAGUUUUUGCAGAGUGGAUUUAACAGACCUCCCAAUAUUUGACUGCCACUUCACAAUGCUUGUCAAAUUAAUCUGUCAAAAUCAGCUCUGAGUCUUAUAAUUCUGAACUGAAUUCAUAGCACAUGCAGGUGUAUGCAUGUGUCUGAAAUUAUCUCUUUCAUUUCAGAAAUGCCCACCUGUGGGCUUGUGUGUGCAUUGGACAUGCUCUUGACUCCACUUGGAAAUCUCAGAUAAUAGCAUUUGCACAAUGCUUUUGAGUUUCUAAGCAGGCACUCCACAUAUAUUAUCCUGUUUCUAAACCUUGCAACAAACCAAAGAGCUAGGUCAAUAUUAUUAUUCCUGUCUUGCAUAUGAAGAGGGCCAGGGCAUAAGCAAAGAGAGCACACCUUGCCUAAAGACACUAAGUGAGUUCCUGGUAGCGGUGGGAUUUUACAACAGGGACUUAUUGAAUCUUAGACACCUGCUUUACACCUAGGAACAUGCAACGAUUGGUUAGAACGUCAAAUAACAUAUGUUACACAAGCAAGGAUCAGUGCAACUAUUUGAAAGUCCCUUGGGUUUAGGAGUGGGUUGGAGUUGUUUUUGGAAAGAUGUAGAUACCUCAAUAACCAGAUCGCUAUCAAUUUUUUCAAUAGGUGGCAGUGUUCUCCUACUUUCAUACCUCGAUGGCAGAUUUCACAGCAGAAAAAACCCCCAUGAAGAUAAUGGCCUGGAUCCAAACUACCACAUAACAAAUGUGUUGUUCUGUUACAAUAUGCUCUAGGUGGAGCUGCCUUUGAAGAUCUGAAAACUAUAGCUGGUUCAGAAUGCCGCUGCCAGACUGUUGAUAUGUGGUGCGUAUGAGCAUUUGACUCCAUUGCUAUUUAAUCUGCUUUGCAUCCUGGUGCGUUUCUCAGCCCAAAUCAAAGUGCUACUGGUUAUCUUUAAAGUUUAAAGACAACAAGUGGUACUUUGAAUUCCGCUCAGAAACACAGAAGGAGCCACUGCAAAGCUAAAUGAUUUGCGUCUGGAAUACCUAAAAGUCUGGUUGCGCCUACAUGGCUCUGUCUAUCUAUUAAGCUCUUAUGAGGAGACUCUGGACCACACCUCAAUGCUGUCUGAGGUGUGCUUGUUGGUUAUGGGGGACAAGUCUUCUCAGUGGUGGAUCCUGAGGUCUGGAAUCUUCCUCAAAAGGUUUGUUCAGCCCUUCCCUCCUAACCUUCAGGGAAACAGCCUUGUUUAGAAAUGCCUUUUAUAUAGUUUUGUUUUUAAACAAAUUACUUGUGGUUUUAAAUUGAUGCUAUUGUUUUGUUCUGUUUACAACCUGUUUUGGGGACUCCAUUUGGAGUAAAAAGAAGGAUAUGGCUAUAUGAAUAAAUGAAAUAAAUGAACGACUUCUGCACUCUUAAGGGUGUGUGUGUGUGUGUGUUUCUCAUAUAGCAGGUGGUGUGAACUUUUGGUCCUUUUGGCCAUGCUUGCUGAAGCUGAUAGGAGUUGUAGUUUAGCAACAUCUGGAGGGCCAAAGGUUCCCCACACCUUUCAUACAGUAUAUGAGGGAAUGGUUGUAACUCAGGGGUAGAGCUUUGGCCUGGCAUGCAGAAGGCCCAAGUUCAUUCCCAGGCAUCUUCAAGUAGAGGUGGGAAAGAGUCCUGCUUGAAACUCUGGCCAGCG